GGGCGGGUGGCGAAAUUGGCAGACGCGCCAGACUUAGGAUCUGGUGGGGCAACCCUUGGAGGUUCAAGUCCUCUUCCGCCCA
RNAcentral lists this transfer RNA (82 nucleotides) under Candidatus Omnitrophota bacterium. RNAcentral's name for it is "tRNA-Leu". It matches the Rfam family "tRNA". Rfam says of the family: Transfer RNA (tRNA) molecules are approximately 80 nucleotides in length. Their secondary structure includes four short double-helical elements and three loops (D, anti-codon, and T loops). Further hydrogen bonds mediate the characteristic L-shaped molecular structure. tRNAs have two regions of fundamental functional importance: the anti-codon, which is responsible for specific mRNA codon recognition, and the 3' end, to which the tRNAs corresponding amino acid is attached (by aminoacyl-tRNA synthetases). tRNAs cope with the degeneracy of the genetic code in two manners: having more than one tRNA (with a specific anti-codon) for a particular amino acid; and 'wobble' base-pairing, i.e. permitting non-standard base-pairing at the 3rd anti-codon position. The record is from RNAcentral. Lineage: Bacteria; Pseudomonadati; Candidatus Omnitrophota.